GGCUAAUCUGCCCUUAGGACGCGAACAACCCCGGGAAACUGGGGCUAAUUCUCGAUAGGUGAAGAACUCUGGAAUGAGUCUUUGCCUAAAAGAGCUUACGUUAUGCUCAUAAGUUUCGCCUAAGGACGAGGCCGCGACCGAUCAGGUUGUUGGUGAGGUAAUGGCUCACCAAGCCUUUUACCGGUGCGGGCCGUGAGAGCGGGAGCCCGGAGAUGGGCACUGAGACAAGGGCCCAGGCCCUACGGGGCGCAGCAGUCGCGAAAACUUUGCAAUACACGAAAGUGUGACAGGGCUAUCCCGAGUGCCAUCCGCUGAGGAAGGCUUUUACCCAGUCUAGAACGCUGGGGGAAUAAGGAGAGGGCAAGUCUGGUGUCAGCCGCCGCGGUAAUACCAGCUCUCCGAGUGGUGUGGAUGUUUAUUGGGCCUAAAGCAUCCGUAGCUGGCUAAGUUAGUCCCUUGUUAAAUCCACCGAAUUAAUCGUUGGAUCGCGGGGGAUACUGCUUGGCUAGGGGACGAGAGAGGCAGACGGUAUUUUCGGGGUAGGGGUGAAAUCCUAUAAUCCCGGGAAGACCACCAGUGGCGAAGGCUGUCUGCUA
Molecule: ribosomal RNA, 596 nt
Filed under: uncultured archaeon
Lineage: Archaea
Description: bacterial SSU rRNA
Rfam family: Archaeal small subunit ribosomal RNA
Source: RNAcentral